UCUUUUUCAAAAGCAUAUAGUAGGUAGUUGUGAGUGGAUGAAAUAUACCAUACUCUAACAAUUAUUUGGUGUCCCACAAGUACACCAAUAUUUAGGACAUUAAAGGAUAAAUGGCUCUACCAAAACUCUUCAUCCCCUUUCUAUUUUAUCACACACUCAAUUCAAAUUAAAUAUAUUUAUACAAUUUUUAUUUAUUUUACUCACAAC
Molecule: long non-coding RNA, 207 nt
Filed under: Vigna radiata
Lineage: Eukaryota; Viridiplantae; Streptophyta; Magnoliopsida; Fabales; Fabaceae
Description: long non-coding RNA (VRAD_LNC003821)
Source: RNAcentral